This 311-nucleotide RNase P RNA is filed under the name Rhodanobacteraceae bacterium. RNAcentral's name for it is "RNase P RNA component class A". It matches the Rfam family "Bacterial RNase P class A", at positions 12 to 320 of the family's 367-position model. From Rfam's summary of the family: Ribonuclease P (RNase P) is a ubiquitous endoribonuclease, found in archaea, bacteria and eukarya as well as chloroplasts and mitochondria. Lineage: Bacteria; Pseudomonadati; Pseudomonadota; Gammaproteobacteria; Lysobacterales; Rhodanobacteraceae. The record is from RNAcentral.
GACAGUCGCGUCGCAGUGAUGCGCUGAGGAACGUCCGGGCUUAAUGGGGCAAGGUGCCAGGUGACGCCUGGGUGGCGCGGGCUGACGGCCAGUGCAGCAGAAAGCAAACCGCCGAAGAUUGCCGGUAGCGGCGGGCGAGCUAAGGGUGAAACGGUGUGGCAAGAGCGCACCGCCUGUGGAGUCAACGCCGCCGGGCACGGUAAACCCAACCUCGAACAAGACCGAAUUGGCGAACCAUGACGCGGCCCGCGCCGUCCCCGGGUUGGUUGCUUGAGCCUGAUGGCGACGUCAGGCCCGGAGGAAUGGCUGUC